AGAGUUUGAUCAUGGCUCAGGAUGAACGCUAGCGACAGGCUUAACACAUGCAAGUCGAGGGGCAGCGAGGGAGUGGCAACACUUCUGUCGGCGACCGGCGCACGGGUGAGUAACGCGUAUGCAACCUGCCCUUCACAGGGGGAUAACCGGGAGAAAUUCCGACUAAUACCGCAUACGUCCUCCGGGGGCAUCCCCGGGGGAUGAAAGAUUAUCGGUGAAGGAUGGGCAUGCGUGAUAUUAGGUAGUUGGCGGGGCAACGGCCCACCAAGCCCACGAUAUCUAGGGGUUCUGAGAGGAAGGUCCCCACAUUGGUACUGAGACACGGAUCAAACUCCUACGGGGAGCA
RNAcentral lists this ribosomal RNA (346 nucleotides) under uncultured bacterium. RNAcentral's name for it is "bacterial SSU rRNA". It matches the Rfam family "Bacterial small subunit ribosomal RNA", at positions 8 to 350 of the family's 1533-position model. The record is from RNAcentral.